AUGCCGGGGUGCGGAGAAGAGAAGACGCACUCCCCGGCCAUGUCACAACAAGAUCAAGAUGUCGUGUGCUACUACAAUUACCUCUUCAUGGCCACCCUCCUGCUACUCCCCUUCCUCCUCAUCGCCAUGUUCAAACCGCCGAGAAAGCACAGCGGCGAGAACCUUCCCCCGGGGCCAUGGCGGCUGCCGGUCAUCGGCAGCAUUCACCACCUCAUCGGCGCACUCCCGCACCACGCCAUGCGUGACCUUGCCCGUCGGUACGACGCCCCGCUCAUGUUGCUCCGCCUCGGGGAGCUCAACGUCGUCGUGGCCUCGUCCGCCAUCGCGUCGAGGGAGAUCAUGAAGACCCACGACGCGGCAUUCGCGACGCGGCCACGGACCGCCACCCUCCGCGCCAUCACGACAGACGACCUCGCCAUCUCCCUUGCGCCGCACGGCGAGCAGUGGCGCCGCCUCAAAAAGCUAUGCGUCACCGAGGUACUCAACACGCGGCAAGUCCGGUCCCUCCGGGGAUGCCGCGAGGCCAACGCCGCCGCCCUAGUCUCCUCCAUCGUCUCGUCGCUAUCGUCUUCGUCGGAGCCCGUGAACCUCAGCUCCCUCAUCACCACCCACGUCACCAACUUGGCGGUGCACGCAUUGGUCGGGGAGCGGAACGAGGACCUCCGCGCAGAGUUCCUGGAGUGCCUGGACGAGGGCAUCAAGCUGGCCUCGGGGUUCAGCCUCGCUGACCUGUUCCCAUCGUCGCGCCUUGCACGUGCGUUUAGUAGCUCAAUUCGCCGGAUGGAGGCGUUAAACAACCAGAUAAGUCAGCUCAUCGGCCGGAUCAUUGAGGAGCAUCGCAUGAGGAGGUCGGCUGGCGGCGGCGACGAGGAAGAAGACAUCGUGGACGUGCUACUGAGGAUUCAAAAUGACGGUAGCCUCCACAUGCCUCUCAACGCCAGAACAAUCGGUUCCGUGAUUAUGGAUAUGUUUUCAGGAGGGAGCGAAACCUCGGUUACAACACUCCAAUGGGUGAUGGCAGAGCUCAUGCGGAGUCCUGCGGCUCUGCGGAGGGUGCAGGCAGAGGUGCGCAGCGCUUUCGCCGAGCAGACCUGCAUCAAGGAGGAUUCCCUGCAGGAGCUGCGUUAUUUGCAUCUAGUAAUCAGGGAGUCGCUUCGGCUACACCCGGUGCUGCCGCUGCUUCUCCCGCGGGAGUGCCAGGAAACGUGUCGUGUCCUUGGCUAUGAUGUGCCCGAGGGCGCCAUGGUGCUCGUCAACGCAUGGGCAAUCGGGCGGGAUAUAGCAAGCUGGGGCGCUGAUGCUGAGGAGUUCAGGCCAGAGAGGUUUGAGGAGGCUGGUGAUGCAGCGGCGGAUUUCAGGGGAACCAACUUCGAGCUCGUGCCAUUCGGCGCCGGUAGGAGGAUGUGUCCUGGGAUCACGUUUGGGAUUGCAGUCGUGCAGGUCAUCCUAGCGAGCCUGUUGUUCCAUUUCGAUUGGGAGCUCCCUGGAGGAGGCGCCGAUGGGCUAGACAUGGCGGAGGAGCUCGGGAUGACAGCCAGGAGGAAGAACGACCUGUGGCUGCAUGCCACCGUUCAUGUGCCUGCUCCUAAUCCAUGA
This 1596-nucleotide ribosomal RNA is filed under the name Triticum aestivum (bread wheat). RNAcentral describes it as "partial small subunit ribosomal RNA". Lineage: Eukaryota; Viridiplantae; Streptophyta; Magnoliopsida; Poales; Poaceae. The record is from RNAcentral.